AGGGGAGUGAAAUAGAACCUGAAACCGUGUGCUUACAAGUAGUCAGAGCCCGUUAAUGGGUGAUGGCGUGCCUUUUGUAGAAUGAACCGGCGAGUUACGAUUUGAUGCAAGGUUAAGCAGUAAAUGUGGAGCCGUAGCGAAAGCGAGUCUGAAUAGGGCGUUUAGUAUUUGGUCGUAGACCCGAAACCAGGUGAUCUACCCUUGGUCAGGUUGAAGUUCAGGUAACACUGAAUGGAGGACCGAACCGACUUACGUUGAAAAGUGAGCGGAUGAACUGAGGGUAGCGGAGAAAUUCCAAUCGAACCUGGAGAUAGCUGGUUCUCUCCGAAAUAGCUUUAGGGCUAGCCUCAAGUGAUGAUUAUUGGAGGUA
This 370-nucleotide ribosomal RNA is filed under the name Staphylococcus aureus. Its description in RNAcentral is "partial 23S ribosomal RNA". It matches the Rfam family "Bacterial large subunit ribosomal RNA", at positions 532 to 904 of the family's 2925-position model. The record is from RNAcentral. Lineage: Bacteria; Bacillati; Bacillota; Bacilli; Caryophanales; Staphylococcaceae.